This 880-nucleotide ribosomal RNA is filed under the name Acinetobacter sp. KRD8. RNAcentral describes it as "bacterial SSU rRNA". It matches the Rfam family "Bacterial small subunit ribosomal RNA", at positions 114 to 989 of the family's 1533-position model. Lineage: Bacteria; Pseudomonadati; Pseudomonadota; Gammaproteobacteria; Moraxellales; Moraxellaceae. The record is from RNAcentral.
UGCUUAGGAAUCUGCCUAUUAGUGGGGGACAACAUUCCGAAAGGAAUGCUAAUACCGCAUACGUCCUACGGGAGAAAGCAGGGGAUCUUCGGACCUUGCGCUAAUAGAUGAGCCUAAGUCGGAUUAGCUAGUUGGUGGGGUAAAGGCCUACCAAGGCGACGAUCUGUAGCGGGUCUGAGAGGAUGAUCCGCCACACUGGGACUGAGACACGGCCCAGACUCCUACGGGAGGCAGCAGUGGGGAAUAUUGGACAAUGGGGGGAACCCUGAUCCAGCCAUGCCGCGUGUGUGAAGAAGGCCUUAUGGUUGUAAAGCACUUUAAGCGAGGAGGAGGCUACUGAGACUAAUACUCUUGGAUAGUGGACGUUACUCGCAGAAUAAGCACCGGCUAACUCUGUGCCAGCAGCCGCGGUAAUACAGAGGGUGCGAGCGUUAAUCGGAUUUACUGGGCGUAAAGCGUGCGUAGGCGGCUUUUUAAGUCGGAUGUGAAAUCCCCGAGCUUAACUUGGGAAUUGCAUUCGAUACUGGGGAGCUAGAGUAUGGGAGAGGAUGGUAGAAUUCCAGGUGUAGCGGUGAAAUGCGUAGAGAUCUGGAGGAAUACCGAUGGCGAAGGCAGCCAUCUGGCCUAAUACUGACGCUGAGGUACGAAAGCAUGGGGAGCAAACAGGAUUAGAUACCCUGGUAGUCCAUGCCGUAAACGAUGUCUACUAGCCGUUGGGGCCUUUGAGGCUUUAGUGGCGCAGCUAACGCGAUAAGUAGACCGCCUGGGGAGUACGGUCGCAGGACUAAAACUCAAAUGAAUUGACGGGGGCCCGCACAAGCGGUGGAGCAUGUGGUUUAAUUCGAUGCAACGCGAAGAACCUUACCUGGCCGUGACAUAC